CGGAUUGUAGUCUGCAACUCGACUACAUGAAGCUGGAAUCGCUGUAAUCGCGGAUCAGAAUGCCGCGGUGAAUACGUUCCCGGGUCUUGUACACACCGCCCGUCACACCAUGGGAGUCGGGAAUGCCCGAAGCCAGUGACCCAAGCGAGAGCAGGGAGCUGUCGAAGGCAGGCCGGAUAACUGGGGUGAAGUCGUAACAAGGUAGC
This 206-nucleotide ribosomal RNA is filed under the name uncultured bacterium. RNAcentral describes it as "partial 16S ribosomal RNA". It matches the Rfam family "Bacterial small subunit ribosomal RNA", at positions 1294 to 1500 of the family's 1533-position model. The record is from RNAcentral.